AAAUGGACUCUCAGCACGGAUAUCUUG
Molecule: ribosomal RNA, 27 nt
Filed under: Frullania pseudomeyeniana
Lineage: Eukaryota; Viridiplantae; Streptophyta; Jungermanniopsida; Porellales; Frullaniaceae
Description: partial 5.8S ribosomal RNA
Source: RNAcentral